This is a small nuclear RNA of Suncus etruscus (white-toothed pygmy shrew), 107 nucleotides long. The record is from RefSeq and is a predicted model, not a curated record. NCBI's taxonomy places the organism in Eukaryota, Metazoa, Chordata, Mammalia, Eulipotyphla, Soricidae.
GUGCUCACUUCGGAAGCACAUAUUCUAAAAUUGGAGCAAUACCAAGAAUAUUAGCAUCUCCCCUGCACAGGGACGACACGCAAAUUUGUGAAGAAAUCAGUCCUGGC